This 301-nucleotide ribosomal RNA is filed under the name uncultured bacterium. Its description in RNAcentral is "partial 16S ribosomal RNA". It matches the Rfam family "Bacterial small subunit ribosomal RNA", at positions 509 to 809 of the family's 1533-position model. The record is from RNAcentral.
CAGCAGCCGCGGUAAUACGUAGGUGGCAAGCGUUGUCCGGAAUUAUUGGGCGUAAAGCGCGCGCAGGCGGAUAGGUCAGUCUGUCUUAAAAGUUCGGGGCUUAACCCCGUGAUGGGAUGGAAACUGCCAAUCUAGAGUAUCGGAGAGGAAAGUGGAAUUCCUAGUGUAGCGGUGAAAUGCGUAGAUAUUAGGAAGAACACCAGUGGCGAAGGCGACUUUCUGGACGAAAACUGACGCUGAGGCGCGAAAGCCAGGGGAGUGAACGGGAUUAGAGACCCCCGUAGUCCCUGUCUCUUAUACA